This 460-nucleotide ribosomal RNA is filed under the name uncultured bacterium. RNAcentral describes it as "partial 16S ribosomal RNA". It matches the Rfam family "Bacterial small subunit ribosomal RNA", at positions 338 to 795 of the family's 1533-position model. The record is from RNAcentral.
CCUACGGGCGACAGCAGUGAGGAAUAUUGGUCAAUGGGCUUACGCCUGAACCAGCCAAGUCGCGUGAGGGAAGACUGCCCUAUGGGUUGUAAACCUCUUUUGUCAGGGAGCAACGCCGGCUACGUGUAGCCGGACUGAGAGUACCUGAAGAAAAAGCAUCGGCAAACUCCGUGCCAGCAGCCGCGGUAAUACGGGGGAUGCGAGCGUUAUCCGGAUUUAUUGGGUUUAAAGGGUGCGUAGGCGGAAUGCCAAGUCAGCGGGAAAAUCGCGGGGCUCAACCUCGCUCCGCCGUUGAAACUGGCGUUCUUGAGUGGACGAGAAGUAUGCGGAAUGCGUGGUGUAGCGGUGAAAUGCAUAGAUAUCACGCAGAACUCCGAUUGCGAAGGCAGCAUACCGGCGCCCAACUGACGCUGAAGCACGAAAGCGUGGGUAUCGAACAGGAUUAGAUACCCGUGUAGUC